This is a long non-coding RNA of Rhineura floridana, 655 nucleotides long. RefSeq lists it as uncharacterized. NCBI's taxonomy places the organism in Eukaryota, Metazoa, Chordata, Lepidosauria, Squamata, Rhineuridae. The transcript is spliced from 3 exons. The record is from RefSeq and is a predicted model, not a curated record.
UAAAUGGAAAUAGUUAAACAUUUAGUCAUAUCUAAUGGAAUAUUUGAAAUGGAUGAAGUGGAGUGAAAGCUGAUUGCUCAUUUCAAUGUCACUCUCUUUAAUAGGGAACUCAGGUGGUGAGUGGCGACAGUAAUGGGGCCACCAAGAAACAAGGAGACGUCAGCAUGCUGAUUUGAUGACCACAGCAAUGUUGUUUCUUUGCUCUUCAUGCCCUUUGUGAGAUCAAUGUUUCUUAUUUCUUUUGCUUUCUGAAGCACACUUUUUUUGCUGAAUCUAAAUUGGAGGCCUUCUUCACUCAAACACCCUCAAAGAGAUAUUUUUAAAAACUGGAACAAUUUGUGAGUCUCAUGAUGAAACCAAAAACAGUUGCUACAGUCAUGUCUCAGCAAGAGCUCUUCCCUUCCUGCUCCUUCCUGCUCUGCCUUGGCACAGUCUGCUGCAGUCAAGGACCAUCUUAUAUCAGAGUACAGAAUGCUACUGUAUCAAAGGAGCAGUACCAUACCUGCAGAGAGAAAGGCAGCAGAAAAUCAAGGCCAUAACAUGGACGUGUUUGAAAGACUGGGGGUGGAAAUAAAUCACAUCAAAGUCUUCCAAAAGAAAGAACACUGAAUAUUACGGAAUAUACAUUCCAAACAAAGAAGAAAUACCACUCAAA